This 253-nucleotide ribosomal RNA is filed under the name uncultured bacterium. RNAcentral describes it as "partial 16S ribosomal RNA". It matches the Rfam family "Bacterial small subunit ribosomal RNA", at positions 524 to 776 of the family's 1533-position model. The record is from RNAcentral.
UACGGAGGGUGCAAGCGUUAUCCGGAUUCACUGGGUUUAAAGGGUGCGUAGGCGGACAGGUAAGUCAGUGGUGAAAUCUCCGGGCUUAACUCGGAAACUGCCGUUGAUACUAUCUGUCUUGAAUAUCAUGGAGGUAAGCAGAAUAUGUCAUGUAGCGGUGAAAUGCUCAGAUAUGACAUAGAAUACCGAUAGCGAAGGCAGCUUACUACAUGUUAAUUGACGCUGAGGCACGAAAGCGUGGGGAGCAAACAGG